RNAcentral lists this ribosomal RNA (253 nucleotides) under uncultured bacterium. RNAcentral's name for it is "partial 16S ribosomal RNA". It matches the Rfam family "Bacterial small subunit ribosomal RNA", at positions 524 to 776 of the family's 1533-position model. The record is from RNAcentral.
UACGGAGGGGGCAAGCGUUAUUCGGAAUUAUUGGGCGUAAAGGGCGCGUAGGCGGCUAGAUGUGUCAAAGGUGAAAUCCCUCGGCUCAACUGAGGAACUGCCUUUGAAACUGUCUGGCUUGAGGCCGGGAGAGGGUAGCGGAAUUCCCAGUGUAGCGGUGAAAUGCGUAGAUAUCAAGAGGAACACCUGAGGUGAAGACGGGUUGCUGGGCUGACACUGACGCUGAGGCGCGAAAGCCAGGGGAGCAAACGGG